GUGUCAGCAGCCGCGGUAAAACGUAGGAGGCAAGCGUUAUCCGAAUUCACUGGGCGUAAAGCGCGUGCAGGCGGCCUGGUAAGUUGGCUGUGAAAUCUCCUGGCUCAACUGGGAGAGGCCGGUCAAUACUGUCAGGCUCGAGGGCGACAGAGGGAGGUGGAAUUCCGGGUGUAGUGGUGAAAUGCGUAGAUAUCCGGAGGAACACCAGAGGCGAAGGCGACCUCCUGGGUCGUACCUGACGCUCAGAUGCGAAAGCUAGGGGAGCGAACGGGAUUAGAUACCCUGGUAGUCC
This 292-nucleotide ribosomal RNA is filed under the name uncultured bacterium. RNAcentral's name for it is "partial 16S ribosomal RNA". It matches the Rfam family "Bacterial small subunit ribosomal RNA", at positions 505 to 796 of the family's 1533-position model. The record is from RNAcentral.